Long non-coding RNA from Mytilus californianus (California mussel), 712 nucleotides. RefSeq lists it as uncharacterized. The transcript is spliced from 3 exons. The record is from RefSeq and is a predicted model, not a curated record. Lineage: Eukaryota; Metazoa; Mollusca; Bivalvia; Mytilida; Mytilidae.
UUCUGUCUGCUUUAUACUUACACAAAUGCUGACACUUUGUAUAUAAAAGAGGGAUCAAACACGACACUAAUUUGUCCAUUCAAAUCAACAAUUCACAAAGCACAAUGGGUUGGACCAAAAUCUCAAACAGCUUACAGUGAUGGGUCACAUCUAAAGAAUACACUGACUAAUUAUGAAAAACUACGUAUUACUGGAAACAAUAGAAUUGGAGAAUACAAUUUGGAAAUCAACAACUUUUCAGCUGCAGAUGAAGGACACUACCGUUGUAAUAACAUUAAUGGUUCCACAGCCGUACAUGUCGACUAUUAUUUAGAAAUUUACAGGUCACCAAGCAAUAUAUCAGUGAUGAAUACUUCGACAGAUGGACUUCUAGAAGUAAAUGAGGGUCAAAGUAGCCUGCUAUCAUGUACUGUAGAGAGCGGUAACCCUGCUGAAAAUAUGAUGUGGGUACAUAAUGACUCAAUACUGGUUUUUGGAGGACCUAAAUUUCUUGAGUAUGAAUUUGUUCCUGUGGUUGCCGACCAUUUACAAAUCUAUGUUUGUUUAACUAACAAUAGUAACACAGAAGCUACAGUUGAAUACCAAGUCCAAAUUUACGUGAAAGAGCUACCAUAUACAACUAUUCAACCUAUUGGUUCUACUGUAAUUGAAGCUGCUAAAGGGAAAGACAUUGUUUUGAAAUGUGAAUAUACAACUUACGUCAAGCCGUAUA